ACGGGGGGGGCAAGCGUUGUUCGGAAUUACUGGGCGUAAAGGGCUCGUAGGUGGCCAACUAAGUCGGACGUGAAAUCCCUCGGCUUAACCGGGGAACUGCGUCCGAUACUGGUUGGCUUGAGUUUGGGAGAGGGAUGCGGAAUUCCAGGUGUAGCGGUGAAAUGCGUAGAUAUCUGGAGGAACACCAAUGGCGAAAGCAGGUUACUGGCCCAAUACUGACACUGAGCUGCGAAAGCUAGGGGAGCAAACAGGA
RNAcentral lists this ribosomal RNA (253 nucleotides) under uncultured prokaryote. RNAcentral's name for it is "partial 16S ribosomal RNA". It matches the Rfam family "Bacterial small subunit ribosomal RNA", at positions 525 to 777 of the family's 1533-position model. The record is from RNAcentral.